This 502-nucleotide ribosomal RNA is filed under the name uncultured bacterium. Its description in RNAcentral is "bacterial SSU rRNA". It matches the Rfam family "Bacterial small subunit ribosomal RNA", at positions 28 to 520 of the family's 1533-position model. The record is from RNAcentral.
GAUGAACGCUAGCGGCAGGCUUAAUACAUGCAAGUCGAGGGGCAGCACGGGUAGCAAUACCUGGUGGCGACCGGCAAACGGGUGCGGAACACGUACGCAACCUUCCCAUAACUGGUGAAUAGCCCUCCGAAAGGAGGAUUAAUACACCGUAACUUAACGAAGUGGCAUCACUUUGUUAAUAUAGGCUUCGGCCGGUUUUGGAUGGGCGUGCGCCUGAUUAGGUAGUUGGCGGGGUAACGGCCCACCAAGCCUGCGAUCAGUAACUGGUGUGAGAGCACGACCAGUCACACGGGCACUGAGACACGGGCCCGACUCCUACGGGAGGCAGCAGUAAGGAAUAUUGGUCAAUGGACGAAAGUCUGAACCAGCCAUGCCGCGUGAAGGAUUAAAGGCCCUCUGGGUUGUAAAACUUCUUUUAUCUGGGACGAAAAAAAGGGUAUUCUUACUCACUUGACGGUACCAGAGGAAUAAGCACCGGCUAACUCCGUGCCAGCAGCCGCGG